Non-coding RNA from Lonchura striata (white-rumped munia), 187 nucleotides. NCBI's taxonomy places the organism in Eukaryota, Metazoa, Chordata, Aves, Passeriformes, Estrildidae. The record is from RefSeq and is a predicted model, not a curated record.
AUUUCCUUGAUCUUCCAGGGAGGAAACAGACAAGAAAUGCUUUACCUUCUAGAGGAAAAAGGCUAAAGGAAAAAAGAAAACAGUACUGGAAUAAUAUUUAAUUUCAGGAAUAUUUUUUAAAAAUGCUCUAAAAACAGUCACACACCAGAAUGUGGGAUCUGAAAUUAGAUAAACUGAGGCUACAGCA